Spinacia oleracea (spinach) is the source of this 2269-nucleotide RNA transcript. It is a transcript of the gene named WRKY transcription factor 44, with no coding region annotated. The record is from RefSeq and is a predicted model, not a curated record. The transcript is spliced from 8 exons. Lineage: Eukaryota; Viridiplantae; Streptophyta; Magnoliopsida; Caryophyllales; Amaranthaceae.
UUUGAGUGUGUAUUUAAAAGAGUCAAAGGCCGCACGAGCUUGACUGUUAGUUGAGAGUAGCGAGGCAACACCAAACCCAGCAAGAUGAUCAAUCAUGUUUAUCAGCCUCAUUUUCACUCCAAUUUUCUCUCUCCUACGAAACCCACAAAGGAAUUUGCUAUAUAUUCGGGAUUCUGAUUUUCUGCACAAACAAUAAUCGAAUGAACAUGCCGAAGUAAACGAUUGAGUUGGUUGUCCUGACUCCUGAGACUUCUGGUCAAAAUGAAGUUGCUAAUGCAAGCACAAACUAGUCUUUUGCUGGAGGGUCCAAACACAUAUACUAUAUUAGAGCCAAGUAAUCUUUAGUCACUUUUCUGUAUAUUGUUGGCAAUGGAGGUAAAGGGGAUAGACCGAGUAGUCAUAGCAAAGCCAGUUGCUUCAAGGCCGUCUUCUACUGGCUCGCUUCUUUCUGGUAACAUCAAUUCCUCACCACCACCUGGUAAAGCAUGCUCUGAGAUGGCAGUUGCUGCAAUUAGGCCUAAAACAGUGAGGGUUAAGCCCACGAUCUAUCACUCUCCACAAGCCGAAAACAUUCAGGUCGGCACUUUAUUUGGAGCAGCUCCUUAUUUUUCAUCUGAUGACAUGUCCGGGGUCCAAAAUCAAUCCACCAUCUUCAAACCGCUGGCAAAGGUUGUCUCUAAGGAAACUGUUUCUUUCUUGCUCAGUAUGGGAAAUUCCAGUGUUACUCAUCAACAGGCACUAUUCCAGGUUGAUGUGUCUGCUCAACAAGAAAAACAUCUUUUAUCCUCAAAUCAGCAUUCAAGUAAUCUAUCACAGGUUGAGAUAUGUCAAUUGGUUGAGAACCCUACAAUGGAGCAACAGAUGUUAGACGGAGAGCCAAGAAUGAUGCCAUCUUCUACAGCUGGUGCUGAUCGGCCCUCUUGUGACGGGUAUAAUUGGAGAAAAUAUGGACAAAAACAAGUGAAGGGUAGUGAGUAUCCAAGAAGUUACUAUAAGUGUACACAUCCGAAGUGCCUAGUGAAAAAGAAGGUUGAGAGAUCAUUAGAUGGGCAGAUAACGGAAAUUGUCUACAAGGGAGAACAUGACCAUCCAAAGCCAGAUCAUGCCAAGGGUUUAUUUUCCGGCACUAAUAAAGAUCACAAUAAUGGUGACCCCAAGUUGCAUGACAAUAUUUGUGAGAGAAAUGGAGGUCUCGAGAGAUUGACGGAGAGCGAAAAUGCAGUGCGAUUGUCCACUCAGUCUACGUUCUCUGGAACCUGUGCCCCAUUUUGUUAUCCUGUUGAUGCGGAAAAGCACUGUGCUAGUGACAGGACUGCCGUCAAUUCUGCUGCACUUGAUCGAAAUUGUGAAGAAGUGGUCAAAGGAUUAAAAGCUGAUGGUGAUAGAAUAAAAAACAAGCGAAGGAAACAGGAUAAUCAAAACAAUGAAGCUGGAAAAUUAGGUCAAGGUGUACAGGGGCCUCGUAUCUUGCUGCAAAACAACACCGAGCCUGAAAUCACGGGGGAUGGUUUUCGCUGGAGAAAGUAUGGACAGAAGGUAGUGAAAGGAAAUCCAUUCCCCAGAUUUACAGUUGUGCAGCGGUUGACAUUGUCCAUUCAUGCACAACCUAUGUUACUCAGACUCUUCGUUUUACCUCAAGUACCCGUGUCGGAUCCUCGACACUUGGACAUGGAAGUUACUAUCGUUGCACCAGCGUCAAAUGCAAUGUACGGAAGUAUGUGGAAAGAGCAUUGGAUGAACCUAGUGCAUUCAUCACAACUUAUGAGGGAAGGCAUAACCAUGAAAUGCCGAUAAAGAUCAUGAAUUAUUCAGCAGUUGCUGAGCCAAAUACCCAAGCCCGUACUAGUAAAGAUAAAAGGAUGCAUGGAUUUAGAUCCUCCCAGUGAGCACCUAUUUAACAAAUAAUGGUUUGUUUUGUACAUAUUGUGUAGUCAUAAGUCAUAACAUGAGAAGACUAGUCAUCCAUGACCCAUCUAUGGAGAACUAAGGAGCAGGUCUCGGUAUUAUUAUCGAGGGUUCGAGAAAUGGAAGCUUUCUAACUUGUGGAAUGUGGAGUCAUUUCAUUUUGUGUUGAUGAAACGCCCUUUCCGAUCUGCAUUUUAAUCGAUCUUGGAAAAAAUGGAAUCUAUAGGGCUUUUUUUUAGACCACCCUAAUUAAGUAAUGGUUUGUUUGGUACAUAUUGUAUUAUUGUGUAAGAAAUUAUACCAAGGAUCUUAAUGUACAAGAUUAUUAAAGGCUCUUUGCAAUUGUGACUCUCUUUUCCUUAUU